This 527-nucleotide long non-coding RNA is filed under the name Panax ginseng (ginseng). RNAcentral's name for it is "long non-coding RNA (PGIN_LNC014345)". Lineage: Eukaryota; Viridiplantae; Streptophyta; Magnoliopsida; Apiales; Araliaceae. The record is from RNAcentral.
UAUCAUUUGGACCAUCACUCCGUUCCCCGACUAGUCCCAGCUAUAUUCUCAUUUCCUGAAGAGAUUAAUGAAAGCAAAGGGUGAGCUCAACUAGCCUAGUAAGAAAUAUUAUGACUAAGAUAAUGUAGAAUAAAUUAUCCUUAGCCUUCAAUAGUAUAACAACUGAUAGAAUAUAAUAGACAAAAUACAAGUUUUAGAUCAACAACUGCAGCGGAAUAAGCAAUCCAUUAGAAGAGUCAAGUAGAACAUAAAAUCUACUAUCUUCUAUGAUUUAAAAAGUUUUUCAUCAACUCAGCUUAAUAAAUAAACCACAUCAUCCAAUCAUCCCUGCACCACGACCAAGGAUAUUCAUGUAAUCAUCAAUGGUCAAGAUUAUACCGAAUAAUCUCUGGUCAUAAUCAUACCAACAACUGUCCAUUAAUGAACUACAGGCCAAUGAGGACUUUCACCACAUCAUUCGUCACAUUACGGUCAUGAUUAUACCGAAUAAUCCCUGGUCAUAAUCAUACCAAGUCCAUCUAUCCACG